UCAAUUUCCAGUUUUGAGUCUUCCUUGGAGCUCGAAUUUGAGGACCCAUUUUCUAGGGUUUUGGUGCAAUCUUGAGGUCUUGGAAAAGAACCGGUGGACGACAGUCCACCUCAACUUUGAAAGUUGCUAGAGGAGCAUUUUCCUUGUUAUUUUGUAAUAGACUACUCCUUUGUUCAUCCCUCAUUUUUUGUAAAAUUCCAAAGGUGUAAUGAUGUAAAUUUCUUUUGAAGAACCAUGAUCAUGUAAUACACUUAUGAUACUUGAUGACAUAUGGGAUGCGAACUUGAUGAUAUGUAACUUGUUGAUGAAUGGAAGGAUAAUCCUAGCUUGAAGCAUUGUCUAGAUUA
Long non-coding RNA from Cornus florida, 347 nucleotides. RefSeq lists it as uncharacterized. The transcript has 2 exons. The record is from RefSeq and is a predicted model, not a curated record. Lineage: Eukaryota; Viridiplantae; Streptophyta; Magnoliopsida; Cornales; Cornaceae.